Vicia faba (fava bean) is the source of this 300-nucleotide non-coding RNA. The record is from the annotation of a GenBank genome assembly. Lineage: Eukaryota; Viridiplantae; Streptophyta; Magnoliopsida; Fabales; Fabaceae.
AUGCAAAGAAAACAAGAAAUAGUAACUUUAUUAAUUCCAACUACAUGCACUUUAAAUAUAAAUUUAUAUAUACAUGAUAUAUACACAAGUCAUUGCACAUUUGUGUUCUUCAUAGACACCAUGACAUAUACUCCUUCCACAAGCAUCAUCAUUGAACAAAAAGUAACUGCAAUUCCAUUCUUUUUUUCUUCAAUCAAUUAUAUUCUUAGAGAAAAAAAACUCGAAAGGAACAUCGAAAAUUUUUGCUCAGAGCUAAUCACAAAUCACAAAUGCUAUCAAAAUUCCAAUACUCAAUUUUAA